This 253-nucleotide ribosomal RNA is filed under the name uncultured bacterium. Its description in RNAcentral is "partial 16S ribosomal RNA". It matches the Rfam family "Bacterial small subunit ribosomal RNA", at positions 524 to 776 of the family's 1533-position model. The record is from RNAcentral.
UACGGAGGGUGCGAGCGUUGUCCGGAAUCAUUGGGCGUAAAGAGCGUGUAGGCGGCUUGUUAAGUCUUGCGUGAAAUCUCGGGGCUCAACCCCGAGCGGUCGUGAGAAACUGGCAGGCUAGAGUGCGGGAGAGGAGAGUGGAAUUCCUGGUGUAGCGGUGAAAUGCGCAGAUAUCAGGAAGAACACCCGUGGCGAAGGCGGCUCUCUGGAACGCAACUGACGCUGAGACGCGAAAGCGUGGGGAGCAAACAGG